RNAcentral lists this long non-coding RNA (938 nucleotides) under Sorghum bicolor (sorghum). Its description in RNAcentral is "long non-coding RNA (SBIC_LNC006282)". The record is from RNAcentral. Lineage: Eukaryota; Viridiplantae; Streptophyta; Magnoliopsida; Poales; Poaceae.
CCUAUGUUACACUAUUAACACAGGCGGUUGUUAUCUCUCGCCGUACUGUUUUUACAACACAGACGCAUGAUAACUAAAACCGUCUGUAAAAAAGUUUUGCCACCGCCGAGGCUGGGCACUUGUGUACUAGUGGUCCUUAAAUAUUUCGUGAUAUGUCAUCUUGUCAGGCUCUUUCAAAUCUACGGAGGCCAUCGAGAAGAUCGUGGCUUCGGAAGGAUCUAUCAUUGGUAGUGGUGGAGCUAGGAUUUGACGGUUGGGUACUGCAUGUAUAAAAAAUUUCCAAUGUAUAUGUGCAAUUAUAAAUUAAUUCUUGUUUAGUUCACAAAUUUUUUUAGUUUUGGCUAUUUUAGUACUUUCUUUUGUAUUUGAUAAUAUUGUCUAAUCAUAGAUAUAGGUUCAAAAGAUUUGUUUCGCAAAUUACAAACAAACUAUAAAAUUAGUUUUUAUUUUCUUCUAUAUUUAAUGCUCCAUGUAUGUGUCCAAUGAUUUAAUGUAAUGGGGAAUCUUAAAAAAUUUUGGAAACUAAACCAGACCUAAUAAAGGACAAAAUCCAGUACAAAAUUGAUCAUGAUGCACAACUAAGUAGUAUAUAUAAUUUUCUUAAAAUAUACGCUAGGUAAAAUAUUUGUUUACAGUGGUAACAAGGCAUCAAGCAAAGUGAGCUGGUGUCGCCCUGGUAAUAAUCAAAGUAUAAGUUCUUUAUCUACGUUACAAGAACACAAUGCAACAUUUUUUAAAAAAAAUAAAAAUGCAACAAAAAAGAAAACAAAACCUACAAUUUUUACUUUGAAGAAUAAAAAAAAUAGAUGUGGGUCUUUGUGUUCGCCUCGUUGUUGCUUCAAGCCAUAUAUGAGAAGAGACACCGAAGGGGAGGGUCGGACUCCCGGACGCUAGAGCCGAGGGGGAGCCUGCAAAGACCACUGACCGCCGCCACAGCC